Molecule: long non-coding RNA, 1053 nt
Organism: Bactrocera neohumeralis
Lineage: Eukaryota; Metazoa; Arthropoda; Insecta; Diptera; Tephritidae
Exons: 2
Source: RefSeq, a predicted model, not a curated record
AUAGGGAGAAAAAUAGGAUGCAGCCAUCCAACAAUAAUCAAUUUAUUAAAAAAAAAAAAUGAACCAGGGCGAUCGUUUGGAGUGUUACAGUAGAUUUGGGACUAGGAGAAAGACAUCUCCUCGAACAGAUGGUGCUAUCAAUAGAUUAUCUCUAAAGGAUCGCUUUAAAAACUCUAUAGAGGUAAGACGGGGCUUAGAGGAGCAAUACAAUGUGGCAAUAGUAAGUGCGAUAACAAUACGGAGGAGGUUGCAGGAGUAUGGUUUGAAUGCGCGGAAACCAGCGGCUUUUCACCAAUAAAAUGAGGCUUGCUCGUUUUGAAUGGGGGAAAACGCAUUGUAACUGGUCCUUAGAGCAGUGGAAAACGGUAAUAUGGUCGGAUGAAAGCAGAUUUAAUUUGCACUGCAACGACCAUUUACCGUAUGUCCGCCGAUUUCCGGGGGUAACGUUUCGCCGAAAAUUGUGUGACGAGAACGGUUAAGCAUCUUGAAAGCCAAAUGGUCUGGGCGUGCUUUUCUUUUUACAUCCGAGGUCCUUUACUUUUUAUUGAUGGGAUGAUGAACGCUGAGAAGUGUGAAGAAGUUGUAUCCCAUUUUAUCGUGCUCGUCGUAGAAGACCAAUAUGAGCAUACUUCUAAGACCAUCUUCAAGGACGACUCCGCACCGUGCCGUCGGGCUAAAUCGGUUCAGAAAAUGUUUGCAGUCCUUGGGAUAUCGCAUAUGUCAUGACCAGAAAAUUCUCCCAAUUUGAACCCGAUUGGGAAUCUUUGGCAUGCCAUGAAAAUGAAAGUAGCUCAACACCGGCUAAGCUCAAAGGCCGAACUGAAAAAAAUACUUAGUAAGGUGUGGGAGCAGGGAGUCUCAACCGAAUGCCUUGAAAAAAGGUUUGUUUCAAUGCCUGCCCGGUCCAAACAGCUAUAGCCGCCAACUGCAUAUAAACACUUUGAUUAAAUAUUCAAUAAUAUAUCAUAUCAAAAAAAUAAGAGUAAUUUUACUCAAAUAUUAAAAAAUUUGAAUAAAAAAUAAAGAUUCUUAUUUAAAUAUAAGAAAAAAUUA